Molecule: non-coding RNA, 219 nt
Filed under: Gossypium arboreum
Lineage: Eukaryota; Viridiplantae; Streptophyta; Magnoliopsida; Malvales; Malvaceae
Description: Bacterial large subunit ribosomal RNA
Rfam family: Bacterial large subunit ribosomal RNA
Source: Rfam by way of RNAcentral
GCCAGGAGGUUUGCCUAGAAGCAGCCACCCUUGAAAGAGUGCAUAAUAGCUCACUGAUCGAGCGCUCUUGCGCCAAAGAUGAACGGGGCUAAGCGAUCUGCUGAAGCUGUGGGAUGUAAAAAUGCAUCGGUAGGGGAGCGUUCCACCUUAGGGGGAAGCACCCGCGUGAGCUGGAGUAGACGAAGCGGAAGCGAGAAUGUCGGCUUGAGUAACGCAAAC